Molecule: long non-coding RNA, 209 nt
Organism: Brienomyrus brachyistius
Lineage: Eukaryota; Metazoa; Chordata; Actinopteri; Osteoglossiformes; Mormyridae
Exons: 3
Source: RefSeq, a predicted model, not a curated record
GUUUCUCGAAGCUCAUGGCAAAGUUCAAAGAAUGUCCAUCACAAAUGCUUACUGCCAGAAAAUCUCACAAUGACAAAUUUCCAAUGUCAGAAUAAAUCAUGCAAUGCUUCCAGACUGUCCAUCUGAACAACUUCAGGUACAUCUCCUCUAUCUUCCAUUUGAAGCCUCCUACCCUGGUUUGCCAGCAUCUCGCUUACCUCCAAUAGAAG